UACGUAGGGGGCGAGCGUUGUCCGGAGUUACUGGGCGUAAAGCGCACGCAGGCGGUCUGUUAAGUUUGGAGUGACAGUUGGUGGCUUAACUGCCAAAGUGCUUCGAAAACUGAGAGACUUGAGGGCUUCAGAGGGACACGGAAUUCCGGGUGGAGUGGUGAAAUGCGUAGAGAUCCGGAGGAACACCAAAGGCGAAGGCAGUGUCCUGGGGAGUACCUGACGCUCAGGUGCGAAAGCCAGGGGAGCGAACGGG
RNAcentral lists this ribosomal RNA (253 nucleotides) under uncultured bacterium. RNAcentral describes it as "partial 16S ribosomal RNA". It matches the Rfam family "Bacterial small subunit ribosomal RNA", at positions 524 to 776 of the family's 1533-position model. The record is from RNAcentral.